UACGGGAGGCAGCAGUGGGGAAUAUUGCACAAUGGAGGAAACCCUGACGCAGCAACGCCGCGUGAAGGAAGACGGUUUUCGGAUUGUAAACUUCUUUUAUUAAGGACGAAGAAUGACGGUACUUAAUGAAUAAGCUCCGGCUAACUACGUGCCAGCAGCCGCGGUAAU
Molecule: ribosomal RNA, 168 nt
Filed under: uncultured rumen bacterium
Lineage: Bacteria
Description: partial 16S ribosomal RNA
Rfam family: Bacterial small subunit ribosomal RNA
Source: RNAcentral